RNAcentral lists this ribosomal RNA (391 nucleotides) under uncultured bacterium. RNAcentral describes it as "bacterial SSU rRNA". It matches the Rfam family "Bacterial small subunit ribosomal RNA", at positions 47 to 434 of the family's 1533-position model. The record is from RNAcentral.
CCUAACACAUGCAAGUCGAACGGUAACAGGAAGAAGCUUGCUUCUUUGCUGACGAGUGGCGGACGGGUGAGUAAUGUCUGGGAAACUGCCUGAUGGAGGGGGAUAACUACUGGAAACGGUAGCUAAUACCGCAUAACGUCGCGAGACCAAAGAGGGGGACCUUCGGGCCUCUUGCCAUCGGAUGUGCCCAGAUGGGAUUAGCUAGUAGGUGGGGUAACGGCUCACCUAGGCGACGAUCCCUAGCUGGUCUGAGAGGAUGACCAGCCACACUGGAACUGAGACACGGUCCAGACUCCUACGGGAGGCAGCAGUGGGGAAUAUUGCACAAUGGGCGCAAGCCUGAUGCAGCCAUGCCGCGUGUAUGAAGAAGGCCUUCGGGUUGUAAAGUACU